RNAcentral lists this ribosomal RNA (429 nucleotides) under Chloroflexota bacterium. RNAcentral's name for it is "Chloroflexi bacterium partial 16S ribosomal RNA". It matches the Rfam family "Bacterial small subunit ribosomal RNA", at positions 355 to 776 of the family's 1533-position model. The record is from RNAcentral. Lineage: Bacteria; Bacillati; Chloroflexota.
UGGGGAAUAUUGCACAAUGGGCGCAAGCCUGAUGCAGCCAUGCCGCGUGUAUGAAGAAGGCCUUCGGGUUGUAAAGUACUUUCAGCGGGGAGGAAGGGAGUAAAGUUAAUACCUUUGCUCAUUGACGUUACCCGCAGAAGAAGCACCGGCUAACUCCGUGCCAGCAGCCGCGGUAAUACGGAGGGUGCAAGCGUUAAUCGGAAUUACUGGGCGUAAAGCGCACGCAGGCGGUUUGUUAAGUCAGAUGUGAAAUCCUCGGGCUCAACCUGGGAACUGCAUCUGAUAAUGGCAAGCUUGAGUCUCGUAGAGGGGGGUAGAAUUCCAGGUGUAGCGGUGAAAGGCGUAGAGAUCUGGAGGAAUACCGGUGGCGAAGGCGGCCCCCUGGACGAAGACUGACGCUCAGGUGCGAAAGCGUGGGGAGCAAACAGG